RNAcentral lists this long non-coding RNA (392 nucleotides) under Capsicum annuum. RNAcentral describes it as "long non-coding RNA (CANN_LNC007355)". The record is from RNAcentral. Lineage: Eukaryota; Viridiplantae; Streptophyta; Magnoliopsida; Solanales; Solanaceae.
UUAUCAACUUUUAAUUCCCGUCUUCCCCAAUUCCAUUGUCAGACUAAUUAGCCAAUUCUUCGAAUAUCAAAUCCAACAUCAACCACGUAUACACAACAAAGAUUCAAAUACGCUAAAGAAACAAGUUAUUCACACCCAUAACAAACAACUAAAAUUCCAAAAAAUAGAAUAGAGAAUGAGAUGAGAAAUGGACCUCAAUACCUUAUUGAUUAACUGAUCUUUCUGAAUAGAACCGCGUCCAAUGGAACCUCAACGUCGAACCUCAAUGUUACUUUUAUUCAAUCAACUUGAACCGAUUUCAACCACGACGGGAGCCUCGUGAACCCAUGAACCACGAACAGACCUCGAACUCGAUUCCCAAAAUCCCAAAGACAAACCCACUUUUAUUUUCC